This 48-nucleotide non-coding RNA is filed under the name Trichobilharzia regenti. The record is from RNAcentral. Lineage: Eukaryota; Metazoa; Platyhelminthes; Trematoda; Strigeidida; Schistosomatidae.
AUCCAGAUGAUGAGUCCCAAACAGGACGAAAUACGCCACAAGCUGGAU